Molecule: ribosomal RNA, 279 nt
Filed under: uncultured bacterium
Lineage: Bacteria
Description: partial 16S ribosomal RNA
Rfam family: Bacterial small subunit ribosomal RNA
Source: RNAcentral
UACGGAGGGUGCGAGCGUUGUCCGGAAUCACUGGGCGUAAAGGGUGCGUAGGCGGGUCUUUAAGUCAGGGGUGAAAUCCUGGAGCUCAACUCCAGAACUGCCUUUGAUACUGAGGAUCUUGAGUUCGGGAGAGGUGAGUGGAACUGCGAGUGUAGAGGUGAAAUUCGUAGAUAUUGCAAGAACACCAGUGGCGAAGGCGGCUCACUGGCCCGAUACUGACGCUGAGGCACGAAAGCGUGGGGAGCAAACAGGAUUAGAUACCGUGUACGUCCAGAGCAA